AGCGAAUGCUGGCGGCAGGCUUAACACAUGCAAGUCGAACGGGCAUAGCAAUAUGUCAGUGGCAGACGGGUGAGUAACGCGUGGGAACGUACCUUUUGGUUCGGAACAACACAGGGAAACUUGUGCUAAUACCGGAUAAGCCCUUACGGGGAAAGAUUUAUCGCCGAAAGAUCGGCCCGCGUCUGAUUAGCUAGUUGGUAGGGUAAUGGCCUACCAAGGCGACGAUCAGUAGCUGGUCUGAGAGGAUGAUCAGCCACAUUGGGACUGAGACACGGCCCAAACUCCUACGGGAAGCAGCAGUGGGGAAUAUUGGACAAUGGGCGAAAGCCUGAUCCAGCCAUGCCGCGUGAGUGAUGAAGGCCCUAGGGUUGUAAAGCUCUUUUGUGCGGGAAGAUAAUGACGGUACCGCAAGAAUAAGCCCCGGCUAACUUCGUG
Molecule: ribosomal RNA, 435 nt
Filed under: uncultured bacterium
Lineage: Bacteria
Description: partial 16S ribosomal RNA
Rfam family: Bacterial small subunit ribosomal RNA
Source: RNAcentral